AGGCCAUGGAGGAGCGGGCACAGCUGAAA
This 29-nucleotide non-coding RNA is filed under the name Homo sapiens (human). Lineage: Eukaryota; Metazoa; Chordata; Mammalia; Primates; Hominidae. The record is from RNAcentral.